CACUCGGAGCUUCGCUUCGGCGGAGUGACGGGGUGCCUUUUGCUUAAUGAGCCGGCUAGUUAUUUUGCGCGGCAAGGUUAAUCCUGGGAACAGGAGGAGCCAGAGCGAAAGCGAGUCUGAAUAGGGCGUUCAGUCGCGCGAAAUAGACGCGAAGGUGAGUGAUCUACCCUUGGCCAGGAUGAACUCAGGGUAACACCUGAGGGAGGUCCGAACCGUUGUUGGUUGAAAACAGCUCGGAUGAGCUGAGGGUAGGGGUGAAAGGCUAAUCAAACUCACGGAUAGCUCGUUCUCUCCGAAAUAGCUUUAGGGCUAGCCUCGCAUGAAUGGUAAGGGAGGUAGAGCACUGGAUGGCCUAGGGGGCCGAAAGGUCUACCAAAUCCAACCAAACUCCGAAUUCCCUUAACCACUGUGCGGGAGUAAGACUACGGGGGCUAAGCUUCGUGGUCUAAAGGGAAACAGCCCAGACCGUCAGCUAAGGUCCCGGAAUGCAAGCUAAGUGGGCAAGGAUGUGAGGAUACGAAGACAACCAGGAUGUUGGCUUAGAAGCAGCCAUUC
RNAcentral lists this ribosomal RNA (555 nucleotides) under Sedimentisphaerales bacterium. RNAcentral's name for it is "partial 23S ribosomal RNA". It matches the Rfam family "Bacterial large subunit ribosomal RNA", at positions 571 to 1120 of the family's 2925-position model. Lineage: Bacteria; Pseudomonadati; Planctomycetota; Phycisphaerae; Sedimentisphaerales. The record is from RNAcentral.